CCUGACGGCUCAGACGGUAAAGCAUCUGCCUACAAUUCAGAAGACUUGGGUUAGAUCCCUAGGUCAGGA
Molecule: transfer RNA, 69 nt
Filed under: Bos taurus (domestic cattle)
Lineage: Eukaryota; Metazoa; Chordata; Mammalia; Artiodactyla; Bovidae
Also listed under: 3 other names
Rfam family: tRNA
About the family: Transfer RNA (tRNA) molecules are approximately 80 nucleotides in length. Their secondary structure includes four short double-helical elements and three loops (D, anti-codon, and T loops).
Source: Rfam by way of RNAcentral